This 163-nucleotide ribosomal RNA is filed under the name Melicope polybotrya. RNAcentral's name for it is "5.8S ribosomal RNA". It matches the Rfam family "5.8S ribosomal RNA". Rfam says of the family: 5.8S ribosomal RNA (5.8S rRNA) is a component of the large subunit of the eukaryotic ribosome. It is transcribed by RNA polymerase I as part of the 45S precursor that also contains 18S and 28S rRNA. Functionally, it is thought that 5.8S rRNA may be involved in ribosome translocation. Lineage: Eukaryota; Viridiplantae; Streptophyta; Magnoliopsida; Sapindales; Rutaceae. The record is from RNAcentral.
UAACGACUCUCGGCAACGGAUAUCUCGGCUCUCGCAUCGAUGAAGAACGUAGCGAAAUGCGAUACUUGGUGUGAAUUGCAGAAUCCCGUGAACCAUCGAGUCUUUGAACGCAAGUUGCGCCCCAAGCUGUUAGGCUGAGGGCACGUCUGCCUGGGUGUCACGC